UUGCCCUACGGGGGGCAGCAGUGGGGAAUAUUGGACAAUGGGGGGAACCCUGAUCCAGCGACGCCGCGUGAGUGAAGAAGUAUUUCGGUAUGUAAAGCUCUAUCAGCAGGGAAGAAAAUGACGGUACCUGACUAAGAAGCCCCGGCUAACUACGUGCCAGCAGCCGCGGUAAUACGUAGGGGGCAAGCGUUAUCCGGAUUUACUGGGUGUAAAGGGAGCGUAGGUGGCAGGGCAAGUCAGAUGUGAAAGCCCGGGGCUCAACCCCGGUACUGCAUUUGGAACUGUCCAGCUGGAGUGCAGGAGAG
Molecule: ribosomal RNA, 305 nt
Filed under: uncultured bacterium
Lineage: Bacteria
Description: bacterial SSU rRNA
Rfam family: Bacterial small subunit ribosomal RNA
Source: RNAcentral